RNAcentral lists this ribosomal RNA (254 nucleotides) under uncultured bacterium. RNAcentral's name for it is "partial 16S ribosomal RNA". It matches the Rfam family "Bacterial small subunit ribosomal RNA", at positions 524 to 776 of the family's 1533-position model. The record is from RNAcentral.
UACGUAGGGUGCAAGCGUUGUCCGGAAUUAUUGGGCGUAAAGAGCUCGUAGGCGGUUUGUCGCGUCUGCUGUGAAAACUGGAGGCUCAACCUCCAGCCUGCAGUGGGUACGGGCAAACUAGAGUGGCGGUAGGGGAGAUUGGAAUUCCUGGUGUAGCGGUGGAAUGCGCAGAUAUCAGGAGGAACACCGAUGGCGAAGGCAGAUCUCUGGGCCGUAACUGACGCUGAGGAGCGAAAGCAUGGGGAGCGAACAGG